AGCAUAUUCCCGUCAAGUCAAGUUGCCAGCCACGCCGAAUACCUUCUAACUUUUACCAUGAAGCUGAUGUGUGUCCUCGCCUUUCUUCUGUUUGCUGGUCUUGUGACCUACUCCGAAGCCAGCUGUUGCUGUCAUCACGGCAGUCACAAGAGCCACCACAGCAGGCACGGCAUCCCCAUCCCCAUCCCCUACUCCAUGGGCGGCAGCAGCGGCGGCAGCCACUCCUCCAACAUCCCUCUCGUCAUCACAACGGCUGGAAAAUAGUUACAACGAUAUGCAACAGAUUUGCAGCCUGCUCCUUUCCGUGAAUACUACAAUCCUUGCUGCGCAUGCCCAGCAUCAGUCGACUCUGGCGGGAUGUGAUUGGCAACUUAUGACUGUAUACUUAUUCAUAGUAAUAUUGUAACAGUCAAUACUUUACAAUAUAUUCAGUUAAAGGUG
Molecule: long non-coding RNA, 441 nt
Organism: Haliotis rufescens (red abalone)
Lineage: Eukaryota; Metazoa; Mollusca; Gastropoda; Lepetellida; Haliotidae
Exons: 3
Source: RefSeq, a predicted model, not a curated record